RNAcentral lists this ribosomal RNA (1270 nucleotides) under human gut metagenome. RNAcentral's name for it is "bacterial LSU rRNA". It matches the Rfam family "Bacterial large subunit ribosomal RNA", at positions 704 to 1990 of the family's 2925-position model. The record is from RNAcentral.
AUGACGUAGACCCGAAACCGGGUGACCUAUCCAUGGGCAGGUUGAAGUGGAAGUAAAAUUUCAUGGAGGACCGAACCAGACGUCUGUUGAAAAAGGCGGGGAUGACCUGUGGAUAGCGGAGAAAUUCCAAUCGAACCCGGAGAUAGCUGGUUCUCCUCGAAAUAGCUUUAGGGCUAGCCUCGCAUUAGUUUACCGGAGGUAGAGCACUGAAUGGUCUAGGGGGCCUCACCGCCUACCGAAACCUAUCAAACUGCGAAUGCCGGAUAAAUGAUGUGCGGGAGUCAGGCCGCGAGAGAUAAGUUCCGCGGUCAAAAGGGGAACACCCCAGAUCGUCUGCUAAGGUCCCCAAGUACGCGUUAAGUGGGAAAGGAUGUUGGAUUGCACAGACAACCAGGAUGUUGGCUUAGAAGCAGCCACACAUUCAAAGAGUGCGUAAUAGCUCACUGGUCGAGUGAUCCAGCGCCGAAAAUGUAACGGGGCUAAAACGCGACACCGAAGCAGCGGGAUGCGUAAGCAUCGGUAGAGGAGCAUUGUGUGAGGGUUGAAGCCAGAGCGGGAGCACUGGUGGACUUCACAGAAGAGAGAAUGCCGGUAUGAGUAGCGAGACCCAUGCGAGAAACAUGGGCGUCGAAGGCCCAAGGUUUCCUGGGGAAGGUUCAUCCACCCAGGGUAAGUCUGGACCUAAGCCGAGGACUGAGGUCGUAGGCGAUGGACAGCAGGUAGAGAUUCCUGCACCACUUACACUUGUUUGACGAAGCAGUGACACAGAAGGAUAGGACGAGCGCGGUGAUGGUCAACCGCGUAGGCGGCACGAGGCUGGGGAGCAGUAAAGUACACUUCCCGGGAAGGCUGAGUGCUGACAGGACCGAAAAAGAGUAGGGAAGCGUCUGAGUUCACGCUGGCGAGAAAAGCUGCUAAGGAGAGUGUGAGUGCCCGUACCGGAAACCGACGCAGGUGGGCGAGGAGAGAAUCCUGAGACGGACGGGAGAACUCUUGUUAAGGAACUCGGCAAAAUGACCCCGUAACUUCGGGAGAAGGGGUGCCUCGAAAGAGGCCGCAGAGAAUAGUCACAAGCGACUGUUUAGCAAAAACACAGGUAUCUGCGAAAGCGAGAGCUGACGUAUAGGUGCUGACGCCUGCCCGGUGCUGGAAGGUUAAGGGGAAGUGUUAGGGGAAACCCGAAGCAGAGAACCGAAGCCCCAGUAAACGGCGGCCGUAACUAUAACGGUCCUAAGGUAGCGAAAUUCCUUGUCGGGUAAGUUCCGACCCG